CUUAGUGAAGAUUUGAAUACAUCAUCGUUUAUCCUGGUUCCAAUAUGUCUAAGACGAACUUUCAAAAAUAGAUCUAUAAUUAGAUUAAUUAAUUGCUCUCUAUGAUUAUUGAAUACACAUUGAUUAGAUAUAUGGUCUUCAAUAUUUUGAAAAACAUCCAUGUAAGCUUCAGCACAUUUACAUAUAAGUAUGACAUCAUUACUUGGAUUAAUUAAAUUACAACCAUCCCAUUGUUUAAACUGCAAAAAUUUUAUUAUAUAGUUUGGAUUUUUUUGAAUUAAUAUGUUUUUACAAAACAAACAAUCAAUUCGCUGUUUUACUUUUUUUACAAUAAAGCCAGCUAUAUACUCAACGACAUCUUCUACAUAAUUACUGAGACUUACUGAACUUUCGAUGUAAUCAUGAUCAGUUAAUUCUUUACUUGAACCUUGGGUUAUGUUAUCCGUAGCAUUGAACUCCAGUGGUAAAAUAGUGGUAGCAUCUAGAAUACCACAGUUACCAAAACAUGAUGCAGUUAUUUGGUUAUUUACAAGUAAACGUUUAUAAGCAUGUUCAAAUUGAAAACAACUUGGAUUGUUGUUAAAUCCACUUCUUCCCCUAGCUGCACUGAAAAAAGUUUCUAGAUGGUCCUGCAAAUAUUUAUAAGUAAGCAUAUAACCAUGGUUUAAUAUUUGUUUAUCAUCUAAAGUUCUAUAAAUUUGUAUGCAGUUUUCCAAAUCUAAUAUCAAGCCAACAAAACCUGUAUUUCUAGAAUGAUUUACUAUAUUAAUUUCCUUGGAUAGUGCACAACCUUGCUUUUUAGGGAUUUCUUUAAGUUUCAAACUCAUUACGUAUGAUUUGAAUUGUUCUGUGAACUGUCCAUAUUUUUCUAGUGUUUCUAAACACAAAGGUUUACCAUAAGGAGCUUUGCUAAAUUUAGUUCGACUAUUUAAUAUAUCAAAAGCUCUGUUGAAGUAUUGACAAAAUUCAGCUGUGGCAAGAGCAUUAUUAUAUUCUGGAUUAGUGUUAUGGAGGUAUUUCAAAGCUGAACUUACACUUUCACUUAAUACUUGCACUGCUAACUUAACCCUCAUUUUUUCAUUCUGGUAAUGUAUAUGUCUAUUUGUCAAUUUUGUAGCUAAAUGCAAACCUUGAUCCUUUUGUUUUUCAUGAAGCAUUCUUAUAAAAUUCCAAUCUAUACAUUCUCCUUUACCAUUAUAUAUUUUUUGUUUUUCUCCAAAACAGUUGCGAACUAAUUUCAUCAUGUGUGCUGCAUCCCAAAUUAAAUAAAUUGGUUGUUGUGUAAUAGGGUGGUCAAUAUAAGCCUUCAUGUUUUUUGGAGAAAAAUUGGCUCCUAAUUUAGUGCACAUUGUUUUAUUUACAUUUGUUCCGUCAUACGUAAUAGAAUGUAAAUGAGAAUUCGUUUCAUGUAAUAAAAUAAUGCAUUUUGUCAACAAA
Long non-coding RNA from Rhopalosiphum padi (bird cherry-oat aphid), 1437 nucleotides. RefSeq lists it as uncharacterized. The transcript is spliced from 2 exons. The record is from RefSeq and is a predicted model, not a curated record. Lineage: Eukaryota; Metazoa; Arthropoda; Insecta; Hemiptera; Aphididae.